RNAcentral lists this transfer RNA (72 nucleotides) under Marmota monax (woodchuck). RNAcentral describes it as "tRNA.Ala". The stretch from base 6 to 66 matches the Rfam family "tRNA", at positions 6 to 65 of the family's 71-position model. Rfam says of the family: Transfer RNA (tRNA) molecules are approximately 80 nucleotides in length. Their secondary structure includes four short double-helical elements and three loops (D, anti-codon, and T loops). The record is from RNAcentral. Lineage: Eukaryota; Metazoa; Chordata; Mammalia; Rodentia; Sciuridae.
GAAGCUGUAGCUCAGUGGUAGAGCACUCACCUAGCAUGUGUGAGGCACUGGGUUCAAUCCUCAGCACCAUAU